RNAcentral lists this ribosomal RNA (574 nucleotides) under uncultured bacterium. RNAcentral describes it as "bacterial SSU rRNA". It matches the Rfam family "Bacterial small subunit ribosomal RNA", at positions 54 to 628 of the family's 1533-position model. The record is from RNAcentral.
CAUGCAAGUCGAACGAAGCACUUUGGACAGAUUCUUCGGAUGAAGUUUUUAGUGACUGAGUGGCGGACGGGUGAGUAACGCGUGGGUAACCUGCCUCAUACAGGGGGAUAACAGUUAGAAAUGGCUGCUAAUACCGCAUAAGCGCACAGUACCGCAUGGUACGGUGUGAAAAACUCCGGUGGUAUGAGAUGGACCCGCGUUGGAUUAGCUAGUUGGCAGGGUAACGGCCUACCAAGGCGACGAUCCAUAGCCGGCCUGAGAGGGUGGACGGCCACAUUGGGACUGAGACACGGCCCAGACUCCUACGGGAGGCAGCAGUGGGGAAUAUUGCACAAUGGGGGAAACCCUGAUGCAGCGACGCCGCGUGAGCGAAGAAGUAUUUCGGUAUGUAAAGCUCUAUCAGCAGGGAAGAAAAUGACGGUACCUGACUAAGAAGCCCCGGCUAACUACGUGCCAGCAGCCGCGGUAAUACGUAGGGGGCAAGCGUUAUCCGGAUUUACUGGGUGUAAAGGGAGCGUAGACGGAAUGGCAAGUCUGAUGUGAAAGGCCGGGGCUCAACCCCGGGACUGCAUUG